GACGAACGCUGGCGGCGUGCUUAACACAUGCAAGUCGAACGGUGAAGCGCCUUCCUUUUUGGUGGGUGUGGAUGAGUGGCGAACGGGUGAGUAACACGUGAGUGACCUGCCCCCUUCUUCUGGAUAACCGCAUGAAAGUGUGGCUAAUACGGGAUAUUCUGGGUCUGUCGCAUGAUGGGUCUGGGAAAGAUAUUGUUUCGGUGGGGGAUGGGCUCGCGGCCUAUCAGCUUGUUGGUGGGGUGAUGGCCUACCAAGGCGGUGACGGGUAGCCGGCCUGAGAGGGUGGACGGUCACACUGGGACUGAGACACGGCCCAGACUCCUACGGGAGGCAGCAGUGGGGAAUAUUGCACAAUGGGCGCAAGCCUGAUGCAGCGACGCCGCGUGAGGGAUGGAGGCCUUCGGGUUGUGAACCUCUUUCGCCAGUGAAGCAGGCCUGCCUCGUUUGUGGGUGGGUUGACGGUAGCUGGAUAAGAAGCGCCGGCUAACUACGUG
This 494-nucleotide ribosomal RNA is filed under the name uncultured bacterium. RNAcentral describes it as "partial 16S ribosomal RNA". It matches the Rfam family "Bacterial small subunit ribosomal RNA", at positions 28 to 507 of the family's 1533-position model. The record is from RNAcentral.